Molecule: ribosomal RNA, 253 nt
Filed under: uncultured bacterium
Lineage: Bacteria
Description: partial 16S ribosomal RNA
Rfam family: Bacterial small subunit ribosomal RNA
Source: RNAcentral
UACGUAGGUGGCAAGCGUUGUCCGGAUUUAUUGGGUUUAAAGGGUGCGUAGGCGGUUCUGUAAGUCAGUGGUGAAAUACGGCAGCUCAACUGUCGAGGUGCCAUUGAUACUGCGGAACUUGAGUACUGAUGAGGUAGGCGGAAUUGACGGUGUAGCGGUGAAAUGCGUAGAUAUAGGAAGGAAUACCAGUGGCGAAGGCGGCCUCCUGGAUCGAUACUGACGCUGAGGAGCGAAAGCGUGGGGAGCGAACAGG